UCGAGAAUCAUUCACAAUGGGGGCAACCCUGAUGGUGCAACGCCGCGUGGAGGAUGAAGGUCUUCGGAUUGUAAACUCCUGUCAUCUAGGAGCAAGACCUGGCGAUGAAUAGUCGACAGGGUUGAUAGUACUAGAAGAGGAAGGGACGGCUAACUUCGUGCCAGCAGCCGCGGUAAUACGGAGGGGGCUAGCGUUGUUCGGAAUUACUGGGCGUAAAGCGCACGUAGGCGGAUUGGAAAGUCAGAGGUG
RNAcentral lists this ribosomal RNA (249 nucleotides) under uncultured Luteolibacter sp. RNAcentral's name for it is "partial 16S ribosomal RNA". It matches the Rfam family "Bacterial small subunit ribosomal RNA", at positions 355 to 596 of the family's 1533-position model. The record is from RNAcentral. Lineage: Bacteria; Pseudomonadati; Verrucomicrobiota; Verrucomicrobiia; Verrucomicrobiales; Verrucomicrobiaceae.